Molecule: ribosomal RNA, 888 nt
Filed under: Triticum aestivum (bread wheat)
Lineage: Eukaryota; Viridiplantae; Streptophyta; Magnoliopsida; Poales; Poaceae
Description: partial small subunit ribosomal RNA
Source: RNAcentral
AUGGAACAAGGCACCCCUCCCCGGCUGCUAAACCUCAUCCCGGAUGACAAGGGGUGGCAGGCGAGGGAAGCUCAAGCAGGCCACGGAGGAACAAGAUCAACACUCGACGCCGAGCACGAGGAGGGCAAGGAGCUGGACCUCAAGCUCGGCCUCCCCGGAGUCCGGCACCAAGAGGAGGCUGUCCCAGGACCAGUAGAGAGCUGCUCGGCGGUCUCCCUGGCUCGCUUCGCCACGCAUUCAUGUCUCACCACCGGCGCCAAGAGAGGCUUCUUCGACGCCGUUGGGGCCAAACCACAAGAUUAUGAUCGGAGGCAGCAAGAGGACAGGGAAGGGUGUGCACCUGUGCACAGCAGCAGAGACCCCCAGGGGAGAGCUGCUGUUGUUCCGGUAGUCGGUUGGCCUCCAGUCCGAUCCUUCAGGAGAAACCUCACAAAUGGAACUUCAUCUAAGCAAUCCCCCGAGCGACAAAACGUCGAGGCCACCGACAGAGCGAAGCCGGUCUGCAAGAAGAAACCGCUUAUCAAGAUCAACAUGGAUGGGAUACCUAUUGGAAGGAAAGUAGACCUCGCAUCAUGCGACAGCUACCAUAAGCUCUCAACUGCCGUCGAAGAGUUGUUCCAAGGCUUCCUUGAAGCCCAGAAGGAUUUAUCUUUUGAUGAAAGCGGAGUGCGAGGAGCAGAAGAGAAAAUAUUUUCAGGGUUGCUGGAUGGAACCGGUGAAUACGCUCUAGUGUACGAAGACGACGAAGGGGACAGGAUGUUGGUCGGAGACAUACCAUGGAGUGUGUUUGUUUCAACUGCGAAGAGACUGAGGGUCAUGAGGAGGUCAGAGCUUCCCCAGCGUAUGCUAAGUAGUGGAGCUAACUCAACGAAAGUAGCAGAUUGCUGA